GACGAACGCUGGCGGCGCGCCUAACACAUGCAAGUCGAACGAGCGAGAGAGAGCUUGCUUUCUCAAGCGAGUGGCGAACGGGUGAGUAACGCGUGAGGAACCUGCCUCAAAGAGGGGGACAACAGUUGGAAACGACUGCUAAUACCGCAUAAGCCCACGGUGCCGCAUGGCACAGAGGGAAAAGGAGCAAUCCGCUUUGAGAUGGCCUCGCGUCCGAUUAGCUAGUUGGUGAGGUAACGGCCCACCAAGGCGACGAUCAGUAGCCGGACUGAGAGGUUGAACGGCCACAUUGGGACUGAGACACGGCCCAGACUCCUACGGGAGGCAGCAGUGGGGAAUAUUGCACAAUGGGGGAAACCCUGAUGCAGCGACGCCGCGUGGAGGAAGAAGGUCUUCGGAUUGUAAACUCCUGUUGUUGGGGAAGAUAAU
RNAcentral lists this ribosomal RNA (429 nucleotides) under uncultured bacterium. RNAcentral describes it as "bacterial SSU rRNA". It matches the Rfam family "Bacterial small subunit ribosomal RNA", at positions 28 to 452 of the family's 1533-position model. The record is from RNAcentral.